This is a long non-coding RNA of Cimex lectularius (bed bug), 663 nucleotides long. RefSeq lists it as uncharacterized. NCBI's taxonomy places the organism in Eukaryota, Metazoa, Arthropoda, Insecta, Hemiptera, Cimicidae. The transcript has 2 exons. The record is from RefSeq and is a predicted model, not a curated record.
UAUUGUAUUUUGUUUGAGAUAAAUUUUUUCCAGCUGUCUUUGUUCUUUUAACAGUUUCCCGAUUUGUUCGGUGGGGACUCAUCAGUUUCCUCUUUGGGCGUUAUGCGAUCUUCCCUGCCAGUUUGUUCAAUGUUUUCCUCAAAUAAGAAAUCGUUGCCAAAUGGGCCUCUUUCCAGGACGUCGCGUCCCAACGUUGACCAAUAUAUCUGAACCAUUGUGUACUGUCUUCACCGUUGUCAGUCCUGUCACAUUUCCGUUCUUUCGUUCACGCUUUCUUGAAAAUCGAAAUUUACCAAUUUUUUUUCUUCAUUACCCUUUGUUACUUUAUACGAGGCCUGAUCCGUUUUGACCAGCCCCAUUUUCCAUAUGGUUUUGUUAUUUAAUUACUUUAUCCAUGUACCAAGAUGUGCAAAUGCUCGCCGAGGAAGGCCGUUCUUGUGUUACUUUUCGUAUUGGGAUUCUUGGUCAUAGCAAUCCUUAUUGUCAUCGCUUUUCUGGGCUUGUUUUCCCCUGCCGCCGGAAGUUCAACUGAAGGUUUCGACGAGGAUUUUACCGAGCUGCCGUUUCUACUCCCGAGCUUUUCGACAUUCAACAAUAAUAUGAGCAAAAGCUAAAUGAGCCGUCCUAUGAUGUAAAUAAAUAAAUAAAAAUAACUUUUUCCAA